UAGGGAAUCUUCCGCAAUGGACGCAAGUCUGACGGAGCAACGCCGCGUGAGUGAAGAAGGAUUUCGGUUCGUAAAACUCUGUUGUUAGAGAAGAACAGCGCAUAGAGUAACUGUUAUGCGUGUGACGGUAUCUAACCAGAAAGCCACGGCUAACUACGUGCCAGCAGCCGCGGUAAUACGUAGGUGGCAAGCGUUGUCCGGAUUUAUUGGGCGUAAAGCGAGCGCAGGCGGUCAAUUAAGUCUGAUGUGAAAGCCCCCGGCUCAACCGUGGAGGGUCAUUGGAAACUGGUUGACUUGAGUGCAGAAGAGGAGAGUGGAAUUCCAUGUGUAGCGGUGAAAUGCGUAGAUAUAUGGAGGAACACCGGUGGCGAAAGCGGCUCUCUGGUCUGUAACUGACGCUGAGGCUCGAAAGCGUGGGGAGCGAACAGG
RNAcentral lists this ribosomal RNA (429 nucleotides) under Bacteroidota bacterium. RNAcentral's name for it is "Bacteroidetes bacterium partial 16S ribosomal RNA". It matches the Rfam family "Bacterial small subunit ribosomal RNA", at positions 355 to 776 of the family's 1533-position model. The record is from RNAcentral. Lineage: Bacteria; Pseudomonadati; Bacteroidota.